This 73-nucleotide transfer RNA is filed under the name Zea mays. It matches the Rfam family "tRNA". Rfam says of the family: Transfer RNA (tRNA) molecules are approximately 80 nucleotides in length. Their secondary structure includes four short double-helical elements and three loops (D, anti-codon, and T loops). Further hydrogen bonds mediate the characteristic L-shaped molecular structure. tRNAs have two regions of fundamental functional importance: the anti-codon, which is responsible for specific mRNA codon recognition, and the 3' end, to which the tRNAs corresponding amino acid is attached (by aminoacyl-tRNA synthetases). tRNAs cope with the degeneracy of the genetic code in two manners: having more than one tRNA (with a specific anti-codon) for a particular amino acid; and 'wobble' base-pairing, i.e. permitting non-standard base-pairing at the 3rd anti-codon position. Lineage: Eukaryota; Viridiplantae; Streptophyta; Magnoliopsida; Poales; Poaceae. The record is from Rfam by way of RNAcentral.
ACUUAUCUAGCUUAGUUGGUAAAAUACAAGACCCUUAACCUUAUGGUUGCGGGUUCAAGCCCCAUGGUGGGUG